RNAcentral lists this ribosomal RNA (506 nucleotides) under uncultured bacterium. Its description in RNAcentral is "partial 16S ribosomal RNA". It matches the Rfam family "Bacterial small subunit ribosomal RNA", at positions 28 to 523 of the family's 1533-position model. The record is from RNAcentral.
GAUGAACGCUAGCUACAGGCUUAACACACGCAAGUCGAGGGGUAACGAGAGGGAAGCUUGCUUUCCUUGUCGACGACCGGCGCACGGGUGAGUAACGCGUAUCCAACCUGCCCCCAACUAGGGAAUAACCUUGCGAAAGUAAAACUAAUACCCUAUAAUUUCCUCAGAUGUCAUCUGACGAGGAAUAAAGAUUUAUCGGUUGUGGAUGGGGAUGCGUCUGAUUAGCUUGUUGGCGGGGUAACGGCCCACCAAGGCAACGAUCAGUAGGGGUUCUGAGAGGAAGGUCCCCCACAUUGGAACUGAGACACGGUCCAAACUCCUACGGGAGGCAGCAGUGAGGAAUAUUGGUCAAUGGGCGGAAGCUUGAACCAGCCAAGUAGCGUGCAGGAUGACGGCCCUAUGGGUUGUAAACUGCUUUUAUACAGGAAUAAAGUUAGCCACGUGUGGUUAUUUGUAGGUACUGUAUGAAUAAGGACCGGCUAAUUCCGUGCCAGCCGCCGCGGUAA